CCUACGGGUGGCUGCAGUGGGGAAUAUUGGACAAUGGGGGGAACCCUGAUCCAGCGACGCCGCGUGAGUGAAGAAGUAUUUCUGUAUGUAAAGCUCUAUCAGCAGGGAAGAAAGGAAUGACGGUACCUGACUAAGAAGCCCCGGCUAACUACGUGCCAGCAGCCGCGGGAAUACGGAGGGGGCAAGCGUUAUCCGGAUUUACUGGGUGUAAAGGGAGCGUAGGCGGUUACGCAAGUCUGGAGUUAAAGGCGGGGGCCCAAACCCCGGACUGCUUUGGAAACUGUAUACCUGGAGUGCAGGAGAGGUAAGUGGAAUUCCUAGUGUAGCGGUGAAAUGCGUAGAUAUCAGGAGGAACACCAGUGGCGAAGGCGGCAUACUGG
Molecule: ribosomal RNA, 380 nt
Filed under: uncultured bacterium
Lineage: Bacteria
Description: partial 16S ribosomal RNA
Rfam family: Bacterial small subunit ribosomal RNA
Source: RNAcentral